GUGGCGAUAGCUCAAUUGGUUAGAGCAGUCCUCCGGCAAAGGAAAGGUUGUGGGUUCAAGCCCCACUCGCACCA
Transfer RNA from Lasius niger, 74 nucleotides. It matches the Rfam family "tRNA". Rfam says of the family: Transfer RNA (tRNA) molecules are approximately 80 nucleotides in length. Their secondary structure includes four short double-helical elements and three loops (D, anti-codon, and T loops). Lineage: Eukaryota; Metazoa; Arthropoda; Insecta; Hymenoptera; Formicidae. The record is from Rfam.